GACGAACGCUGGCGGCGUGCUUAACACAUGCAAGUCGAACGGUGAAGGGACUGGUUUUGCUGGUCCUGGAUGAGUGGCGAACGGGUGAGUAACACGUGAGUAACCUGCCCCCUUCUUCUGGAUAACCGCAUGAAAGUGUGGCUAAUACGGGAUAUUCUGGGUCUGUCGCAUGGUGGGCCUGGGAAAGAUUGCGCCUUUUUUGGUGUUUUUGGUGGGGGAUGGGCUCGCGGCCUAUCAGCUUGUUGGUGGGGUGAUGGCCUACCAAGGCGGUGACGGGUAGCCGGGCUGAGAGGGUGGACGGUCACACUGGGACUGAGACACGGCCCAGACUCCUACGGGAGGCAGCAGUGGGGAAUAUUGCACAAUGGGCGCAAGCCUGAUGCAGCGACGCCGCGUGAGGGAUGGAGGCCUUCGGGUUGUGAACCUCUUUCGCCAGUGAAGCAGGCCUGCCUCUUUUUGUGGGUGGGUUGACGGUAGCUGGAUAAGAAGCGCCGGCUAACUACGUG
This 506-nucleotide ribosomal RNA is filed under the name uncultured bacterium. RNAcentral describes it as "partial 16S ribosomal RNA". It matches the Rfam family "Bacterial small subunit ribosomal RNA", at positions 28 to 507 of the family's 1533-position model. The record is from RNAcentral.